This 1475-nucleotide ribosomal RNA is filed under the name Propionibacterium sp. KPL1849. RNAcentral's name for it is "bacterial SSU rRNA". It matches the Rfam family "Bacterial small subunit ribosomal RNA". Lineage: Bacteria; Bacillati; Actinomycetota; Actinomycetes; Propionibacteriales; Propionibacteriaceae. The record is from RNAcentral.
AGAGUUUGAUCCUGGCUCAGGACGAACGCUGGCGGCGUGCUUAACACAUGCAAGUCGAACGGAAAGGCCCUGCUUUUGUGGGGUGCUCGAGUGGCGAACGGGUGAGUAACACGUGAGUAACCUGCCCUUGACUUUGGGAUAACUUCAGGAAACUGGGGCUAAUACCGGAUAGGAGCUCCUGCUGCAUGGUGGGGGUUGGAAAGUUUCGGCGGUUGGGGAUGGACUCGCGGCUUAUCAGCUUGUUGGUGGGGUAGUGGCUUACCAAGGCUUUGACGGGUAGCCGGCCUGAGAGGGUGACCGGCCACAUUGGGACUGAGAUACGGCCCAGACUCCUACGGGAGGCAGCAGUGGGGAAUAUUGCACAAUGGGCGGAAGCCUGAUGCAGCAACGCCGCGUGCGGGAUGACGGCCUUCGGGUUGUAAACCGCUUUCGCCUGUGACGAAGCGUGAGUGACGGUAAUGGGUAAAGAAGCACCGGCUAACUACGUGCCAGCAGCCGCGGUGAUACGUAGGGUGCGAGCGUUGUCCGGAUUUAUUGGGCGUAAAGGGCUCGUAGGUGGUUGAUCGCGUCGGAAGUGUAAUCUUGGGGCUUAACCCUGAGCGUGCUUUCGAUACGGGUUGACUUGAGGAAGGUAGGGGAGAAUGGAAUUCCUGGUGGAGCGGUGGAAUGCGCAGAUAUCAGGAGGAACACCAGUGGCGAAGGCGGUUCUCUGGGCCUUUCCUGACGCUGAGGAGCGAAAGCGUGGGGAGCGAACAGGCUUAGAUACCCUGGUAGUCCACGCUGUAAACGGUGGGUACUAGGUGUGGGGUCCAUUCCACGGGUUCCGUGCCGUAGCUAACGCUUUAAGUACCCCGCCUGGGGAGUACGGCCGCAAGGCUAAAACUCAAAGGAAUUGACGGGGCCCCGCACAAGCGGCGGAGCAUGCGGAUUAAUUCGAUGCAACGCGUAGAACCUUACCUGGGUUUGACAUGGAUCGGGAGUGCUCAGAGAUGGGUGUGCCUCUUUUGGGGUCGGUUCACAGGUGGUGCAUGGCUGUCGUCAGCUCGUGUCGUGAGAUGUUGGGUUAAGUCCCGCAACGAGCGCAACCCUUGUUCACUGUUGCCAGCACGUUAUGGUGGGGACUCAGUGGAGACCGCCGGGGUCAACUCGGAGGAAGGUGGGGAUGACGUCAAGUCAUCAUGCCCCUUAUGUCCAGGGCUUCACGCAUGCUACAAUGGCUGGUACAGAAAGUGGCGAGCCUGUGAGGGUGAGCGAAUCUCGGAAAGCCGGUCUCAGUUCGGAUUGGGGUCUGCAACUCGACCUCAUGAAGUCGGAGUCGCUAGUAAUCGCAGAUCAGCAACGCUGCGGUGAAUACGUUCCCGGGGCUUGUACACACCGCCCGUCAAGUCAUGAAAGUUGGUAACACCCGAAGCCGGUGGCCUAACCGUUGUGGGGGAGCCGUCGAAGGUGGGACUGGUGAUUAGGACUAAGUCGUA